GGGGAUGUUUUCUGGAUUCGUCGGGGUUCUGAAAAUGAUAUAAGCAUGUCUUGGUGGUGCAAGUAAAAACACACGAGGUUCUAAAUAACCGGAAACCAAAAUUUACAAUUCGCUGCUUAAGAAAAAGUGCGAGCCAUCUCUAAGUUUUCUUACGACCUAGACUACGGCCCAAAUCAGUAAGAUAUAUUUAUGUGCUGCCACCUUAAGCCCAUAGAUGAAUCAAUAAGGUUAGUCUAGUAGAAAUAUGUCAAUCUAUGUCUGCUAGAUGAAUAUAACUGAUUGACUAAAC
This 289-nucleotide transfer-messenger RNA is filed under the name Tenericutes bacterium HGW-Tenericutes-8. RNAcentral describes it as "partial transfer-messenger RNA". It matches the Rfam family "transfer-messenger RNA", at positions 1 to 313 of the family's 374-position model. Rfam says of the family: Bacterial tmRNA, also known as 10Sa RNA or SsrA, is named for its dual tRNA and mRNA-like properties. Its role is to liberate the mRNA from a stalled ribosome. Lineage: Bacteria; Bacillati; Mycoplasmatota. The record is from RNAcentral.